RNAcentral lists this ribosomal RNA (443 nucleotides) under uncultured bacterium. RNAcentral describes it as "partial 16S ribosomal RNA". It matches the Rfam family "Bacterial small subunit ribosomal RNA", at positions 338 to 795 of the family's 1533-position model. The record is from RNAcentral.
CCUACGGGAGGCAGCAGUGGGGAAUAUUGGGCAAUGGGCGAAAGCCUGACCCAGCAAUGCCGCGUGAAUGAAGAAGGUCUUAGGAUUGUAAAAUUCUGUCCUAUGGGAAGAAAAAAAUGACGGUACCAUAGGAGGAAGCCCCGGCUAACUACGUGCCAGCAGCCGCGGUAAUACGUAGGGGGCGAGCGUUGUCCGGAAUUACUGGGCGUAAAGAGAGCGUAGGCGGCAGUGCAAGUCUGGAGUGAAAGGCGGGGGCUCAACCCCCGGACUGCUCUGGAAACUGUACGGCUGGAGUGCAGGAGAGGUAAGUGGAAUUCCUAGUGUAGCGGUGAAAUGCGUAGAUAUUAGGAGGAACACCAGUGGCGAAGGCGGCUUACUGGACUGUAACUGACGUUGAGGCUCGAAAGUGUGGGUAUCAAACAGGAUUAGAUACCCGAGUAGUC